GACGACCUUCGGGAGCUUGUACAGGUGCUGCAUGGCUGUCGUCAGCUCGUGUCGUGAGAUGUUGGGUUAAGUCCCGCAACGAGCGCAACCCUUGUCUUUAGUUGCCAUCAUUCAGUUGGGCACUCUAAAGAGACUGCCGGUGUCAAACCGGAGGAAGGUGGGGAUGACGUCAAGUCCUCAUGGCCUUUAUGACCAGGGCUACACACGUACUACAAUGGCCGGUACAAAGGGCAGCCACUUAGCGAUAAGGAGCCAAUCCCGUAAAGCCGGUCUCAGUCCGGAUUGGAGUCUGCAACUCGACUCCAUGAAGUUGGAAUCGCUAGUAAUCGCAGAUCAGCACGCUGCGGUGAAUACGUUCCCGGGCCUU
RNAcentral lists this ribosomal RNA (367 nucleotides) under uncultured Desulfocapsa sp. RNAcentral's name for it is "bacterial SSU rRNA". It matches the Rfam family "Bacterial small subunit ribosomal RNA", at positions 1010 to 1382 of the family's 1533-position model. Lineage: Bacteria; Pseudomonadati; Thermodesulfobacteriota; Desulfobulbia; Desulfobulbales; Desulfocapsaceae. The record is from RNAcentral.